GAAGAUAUUGGCUAUACAUGCAAGUCGAGCGAGCUGAACCAACAGAUUCACUUCGGUGAUGACGUUGGGAACGCGAGCGGCGGAUGGGUGAGUAACACGUGGGGAACCUGCCCCAUAGUCUGGGAUACCACUUGGAAACAGGUGCUAAUACCGGAUAAGAAAGCAGAUCGCAUGAUCAGCUUAUAAAAGGCGGCGUAAGCUGUCGCUAUGGGAUGGCCCCGCGGUGCAUUAGCUAGUUGGUAGGGUAACGGCCUACCAAGGCAAUGAUGCAUAGCCGAGUUGAGAGACUGAUCGGCCACAUUGGGACUGAGACACGGCCCAAACUCCUACGGGAGGCAGCAGUAGGGAAUCUUCCACAAUGGACGAAAGUCUGAUGGAGCAACGCCGCGUGAGUGAAGAAGGUUUUCGGAUCGUAAAGCUCUGUUGUUGGUGAAGAAGGAUAGAGGUAGUAACUGGCCUUUAUUUGACGGUAAUCAACCAGAAAGUCACGGCUAACUACGUGCCAGCAGCCGCGGUAAUACGUAGGUGGCAAGCGUUGUCCGGAUUUAUUGGGCGUAAAGCGAGCGCAGGCGGAAGAAUAAGUCUGAUGUGAAAGCCCUCGGCUUAACCGAGGAACUGCAUCGGAAACUGUUUUUCUUGAGUGCAGAAGAGGAGAGUGGAACUCCAUGUGUAGCGGUGGAAUGCGUAGAUAUAUGGAAGAACACCAGUGGCGAAGGCGGCUCUCUGGUCUGCAACUGACGCUGAGGCUCGAAAGCAUGGGUAGCGAACAGGAUUAGAUACCCUGGUAGUCCAUGCCGUAAACGAUGAGUGCUAAGUGUUGGGAGGUUUCCGCCUCUCAGUGCUGCAGCUAACGCAUUAAGCACUCCGCCUGGGGAGUACGACCGCAAGGUUGAAACUCAAAGGAAUUGACGGGGGCCCGCACAAGCGGUGGAGCAUGUGGUUUAAUUCGAAGCAACGCGAAGAACCUUACCAGGUCUUGACAUCUAGUGCAAUCCGUAGAGAUACGGAGUUCCCUUCGGGGACACU
RNAcentral lists this ribosomal RNA (1026 nucleotides) under Lactobacillus acidophilus. RNAcentral's name for it is "bacterial SSU rRNA". It matches the Rfam family "Bacterial small subunit ribosomal RNA", at positions 38 to 1030 of the family's 1533-position model. Lineage: Bacteria; Bacillati; Bacillota; Bacilli; Lactobacillales; Lactobacillaceae. The record is from RNAcentral.